UACGUAGGGACCAAGCGUUGUUCGGAUUUACUGGGCGUAAAGGGCGCGUAGGCGGCAAUUCAAGUCAGCUGUGAAAUCUCCGGGCUUAACUCGGAACGGUCAGCUGAUACUGCUUCGCUAGAGUGCAGAAGGGGCAAUCGGAAUUCUUGGUGUAGCGGUGAAAUGCGUAGAUAUCAAGAGGAACACCUGAGGUGAAGACGGGUUGCUGGGCUGACACUGACGCUGAGGCGCGAAAGCUAGGGUAGCAAACGGG
Molecule: ribosomal RNA, 253 nt
Filed under: uncultured bacterium
Lineage: Bacteria
Description: partial 16S ribosomal RNA
Rfam family: Bacterial small subunit ribosomal RNA
Source: RNAcentral